GAGGAACCCGGUGCGAGUCCGGGGCGGUCGCGCCACUGUGAUCGACCCACGCGGGUCGGCAGCCAGAGACUC
Molecule: non-coding RNA, 72 nt
Filed under: Kutzneria viridogrisea DSM 43870
Lineage: Bacteria; Bacillati; Actinomycetota; Actinomycetes; Pseudonocardiales; Pseudonocardiaceae
Source: RNAcentral